AAGGGAGACCUAAUUCAGGUAGGAGACGAAAAAAAAGUAGUCGCUACCAAGAAUCAAUCCCAAAAGGUCGGAGCGAGGCGAAAUUGGCUUUCAAACUAGGUUCUGGGUUCACACAAGACCUGAAUCAGGAACAAGGGCUAUUAGCUCAGGUGGUUAGGGCGCACCCCUGAUAAGGGUGAGGUCCCUGGUUCGAGUCCAGGAUGGCCCACCUGUACAGGUGGCAAAAAGAAAGAAAAGAAGCGAGGAAUCAGCACCUUAUCUUACUGACAUAGUAAGAGAGAAUGCUGGCUCUGAGUAAAGAGUCCAGAGGAACCUUGAAAACUGCAUAGAGCUAGGUGAAAAAGCCAAAAAAGAAGACCGCAA
Molecule: transfer RNA, 363 nt
Filed under: uncultured Microcystis sp.
Lineage: Bacteria; Bacillati; Cyanobacteriota; Cyanophyceae; Chroococcales; Microcystaceae
Description: partial 16S-23S ribosomal RNA intergenic spacer
Rfam family: tRNA (bases 135-208)
Source: RNAcentral